Molecule: long non-coding RNA, 1235 nt
Organism: Panicum virgatum (switchgrass)
Lineage: Eukaryota; Viridiplantae; Streptophyta; Magnoliopsida; Poales; Poaceae
Exons: 2
Source: RefSeq, a predicted model, not a curated record
CAUCCUUGCUGCUGUGUCUGCGACAAACAUAUCAUAGGAACCUCUAUAAAAUGAAAGAUAAAGUUCAUGUGGAGCUAGCAAGAGAGAUCAGCGCCAGCCUAUACCAGUAUACCAAUAAGGGAGCACAGAGGACAAGGUACGUGUAGCCAUAACAGGUGUAUUUUUGUACCUAUUUUCAUAAAUUCCUAGCGUUCAUACAAAGUUUAGUUUUAAUUCCACACUUCCUACUAUUGGGUUGCUCGCCGCUGGAAUUUUCGUUAGCCACCUAUGAAAACACAUCAUGGAAAGUUUCGGAGAGCUCUCAUACCUGCACCUUAGAGAUAAAUGGAUGAUAAGGCAACUCCCUGCCAGACAUGGGUAACCGAGCUCCACCGGUCGACAGCGAUGGUGGUAGGAGCAUAAAAAAGGAGCACCAGGAUGAGUAGGGAGGCCAGAUGACAAAAUUGACCAUAAGUUAUGUGAAGACUCUAGCACAAAUCAUAGAUCAGCUUGGAUUGGAGGAACCAAAAAUAGCAUAUGAGAAGGGAGAGAGCGGAAUGUUCCAUGCUACCAUAGAAGUGGACCUUUUGAACUGGGUAUCCAUGGGAUACAGAGGCCAACGAGAAUUCACAGGCAAGUCAUCAGUUUCCGCAAGAAGAGCUGUUGAGAAGGCCGCUCGUAAAGUUGUCAAUACUUUGGAGAAAUAUGGUCUCGUCAAGAUCAAUGAUUUCAGGAGGAAACAACUGAAGCUGUGGAAGAAAAGAGUCAUGAAUAUUGCUAAGGUAUGCAAGGAACUCAUCGAAGAAAGAGACGUACUUGAGAGGAACAACGCGUACCUACAAAACAAGCACAAUAAAUUACUUGCAGAGAAUGCUAGGAUGGAAGAAGAAAUAUCGAGGCUGGAGGAAAAGAUAGUUGGGCGCACAGAAGGUGAAAAGGAAGAUAAGGAGCCCACUAGCAAGAACAACCACUUGGAUGGAGAUAACACUACAAUGGAGGAAUUCAUGGAAGUUAAGUGGGAAGGCACAUAAUAUAAAUUGCUGUGGUACUGGGUUUCCAUCUGUGCAAGUACUGGUCAAUGUGUUAUAUAUAGUAAUUAUGUGUCCUAGGAAGGUACCUGCAGCUCAACUAAUGGUGCUGAUAGUAGUAAUGGUUUCAAGUACCUAUUAUAUAUUAGUGUUGCAUCUUAAAAAAGAGGACUGGUUGUACGUCUUGGUGUUGUCUUUUCGCUAUAGAAUGCAUGGUACUUGGAGGCA